GUAGUCCUAGCUGUAAACGAUGUAUACUUGGUGUAACUGGACUCAACCCCGGUUGUGCCGAAGCUAACGCGAUAAGUAUACCGCCUGAGGAGUACGCUCGCAAGGGUGAAACUCAAAAGAAUUGACGGGGACCCGCACAAGCAGUGGAGUAUGUGGUUUAAUUCGAUGCAACGCGAAGAACCUUACCCAGGUUUGACAUGCAGUGGACGAUGGCAGAAAUGUCAUUUCUCUUCGGAGCCGCUGCACAGGUGCUGCAUGGCUGUCGUCAGCUCGUGCCGUGAGGUGUUUGGUUAAGUCCAGCAACGAGCGCAACCCUUAUCAUUAGUUGCCAACAUUUCGGAUGGGAACUCUAAUGAGACUGCCUGGGUGAACCAGGA
This 377-nucleotide ribosomal RNA is filed under the name uncultured bacterium. RNAcentral's name for it is "bacterial SSU rRNA". It matches the Rfam family "Bacterial small subunit ribosomal RNA", at positions 790 to 1167 of the family's 1533-position model. The record is from RNAcentral.